This 253-nucleotide ribosomal RNA is filed under the name uncultured bacterium. RNAcentral describes it as "partial 16S ribosomal RNA". It matches the Rfam family "Bacterial small subunit ribosomal RNA", at positions 524 to 776 of the family's 1533-position model. The record is from RNAcentral.
UACGAGGGGGGCGAGCGUUGUUCGGAAUUAUUGGGCGUAAAGGGUGCGUAGGCGGUUUGGUAAGUCUUGUGUGAAAUCUCUGGGCUCAACUCAGAGUCUGCACGAGAAACUGCCGGGCUUGAGUGUGGGAGAGGUGAGUGGAAUUCCUGGUGUAGCGGUGAAAUGCGUAGAUAUCAGGAGGAACACCUGUGGCGAAAGCGGCUCACUGGACCAUAACUGACACUGAGAGACGACAGCUAGGGGAGCGAAUGGG